UGAUUACUUAAGAAAUUCGGUUUAUUGUUUAUUUCUAAUGCUUUUUAGUUUGAAUUUUUGUUAAGAUGGAAAAUGAAGUAGGGAUGUUUUUGGUGAAAUGCUUUAUUUCGUAAACUAGGAUAUUAUCAACAUUAGAACACAAUAAUUUCUUGACUUGGCUACCAUAGGAAGACACACUUGUUGCAGCCUAUCUGAUUAGAUCAGGGAUGCUCAAAAAAUUUUAAAGGAAUGAAUCCAAUUGGCUUACAUAGUUUUUCUAUAAAUUUCUUCUGGAUGUGAGCUGUGAAUGAAAAACAUCAGAAUCAAUUAUGAAGUACAGUUAAUGGAUAAAAUGCCAGUAAAUGAAAUUUUUAGAAAAUUACUUAGAAAUAAAUUGAAUCCCCAAAGAGGUUAAAUCAGGAUAUCAGGGAUGAUGUAAGAGUUCAGCUUUUCCUGUUGGUACCAUUAAAUGAAAAAAUGAUUAAGUAAGUGGAAUCCAUACAAGGGAAUUUGGGGAUAAUUGGAUUCACCAGCCGUUGACAUUCAUUCAUGGAUGUAGCAACAGAAAGGAAAAUAACUACAGAUUUAAUAGUACACAAAUAAUUUGUGACAAGAUGGUUGGCAUGAUCAUCAAUAUAAAACCCUAUCCAGGUCUGUAUUGGUGAUUCUAGCAUUUCUUUACAGCUGGUGAUGGUCAGUGUGUUCGAACGUACAAAGAGUCAAUCAAAUUUUGUACAUUCGUAUACAUUUCGGUAGAUAAGUUAAAAUGGGUAACGGAAAACUGAAUGUAUAUUUUAUAUUUAUGACAAUUUGUUAUUAAAGCAUUUUUAAUCACUA
This 816-nucleotide long non-coding RNA is filed under the name Centruroides sculpturatus (bark scorpion). RNAcentral's name for it is "uncharacterized LOC111628042, transcript variant X1". Lineage: Eukaryota; Metazoa; Arthropoda; Arachnida; Scorpiones; Buthidae. The record is from RNAcentral.